AACGAACGCUGGCGGCAGGCUUAACACAUGCAAGUCGAACGGGUGCAGCAAUGCAUCAGUGGCAGACGGGUGAGUAACACGUGGGAACCUUCCUAGGGGUACGGAACAACUCAGGGAAACUGGAGCUAAUACCGUAUACGUCCGUGAGGAGAAAGAUUUAUCGCCCUUAGACGGGCCCGCGUCGGAUUAGCUAAUUGGUGGGGUAACGGCCUACCAAGGCGACGAUCCGUAGCUGAUCUUAGAGGAUGAUCAGCCACACUGGGACUGAGACACGGCCCAGACUCCUACGGGAGGCAGCAGUGGGGAAUCUUGGACAAUGGGCGCAAGCCUGAUCCAGCCAUGCCGCGUGAGUGAAGAAGGUCUUCGGAUUGUAAAGCUCUUUUGCCAGGGACGAUAAUGACGGUACCUGGAGAAUAAGCCCCGGCAAACUUCGUGCCAGCCGCCGCAGUAA
RNAcentral lists this ribosomal RNA (451 nucleotides) under uncultured bacterium. RNAcentral describes it as "partial 16S ribosomal RNA". It matches the Rfam family "Bacterial small subunit ribosomal RNA", at positions 29 to 523 of the family's 1533-position model. The record is from RNAcentral.